GGGCCCGCACAAGCGGUGGAGCAUGUGGUUUAAUUCGACGCAACGCGAAGAACCUUACCUGGAUUUGACAUCCCGGGAAUUUUGUUGAAAGACGAAAGUGCCCUUCGGGGAGCCCGGAGACAGGUGCUGCAUGGCUGUCGUCAGCUCGUGUCGUGAGAUGUUGGGUUAAGUCCCGCAACGAGCGCAACCCUUGUCUUUAGUUACCAUCAUUCAGUUGGGGACUCUAAAGAUACUGCCCCGGUCAACGGGGAGGAAGGUGGGGAUGACGUCAAGUCCUCAUGGCCUUUAUGUCCAGGGCUACACACGUGCUACAAUGGGCGGUACAAAGGGUCGCAAGCCCGCGAGGGUGAGCCAAUCCCAAAAAAAGCCGUCCCAAGUUCGGAUUGGAGUCUGCAACUCGACUCCAUGAAGCUGGAAUCGCUAGUAAUCGCGGAUCAGCAUGCCG
Molecule: ribosomal RNA, 445 nt
Filed under: uncultured Pseudomonadota bacterium
Lineage: Bacteria; Pseudomonadati; Pseudomonadota
Description: bacterial SSU rRNA
Rfam family: Bacterial small subunit ribosomal RNA
Source: RNAcentral